Molecule: ribosomal RNA, 253 nt
Filed under: uncultured bacterium
Lineage: Bacteria
Description: partial 16S ribosomal RNA
Rfam family: Bacterial small subunit ribosomal RNA
Source: RNAcentral
UACGAAGGGGGCUAGCGUUGCUCGGAAUCACUGGGCGUAAAGCGCACGUAGGCGGAUUGCUAAGUCAGGGGUGAAAUCCUGGAGCUCAACUCCAGAACUGCCUUUGAUACUGGCGACCUUGAGUCCGGGAGAGGUGAGUGGAAUUCCCAGUGUAGCGGUGAAAUGCGUAGAUAUUGGGAGGAACACCAGUGGCGAAGGCGGCUCACUGGACCGGAACUGACGCUGAGGCGCGAAAGCGUGGGGAGCAAACAGG